This 460-nucleotide ribosomal RNA is filed under the name uncultured bacterium. Its description in RNAcentral is "partial 16S ribosomal RNA". It matches the Rfam family "Bacterial small subunit ribosomal RNA", at positions 338 to 795 of the family's 1533-position model. The record is from RNAcentral.
CCUACGGGAGGCAGCAGUGAGGAAUAUUGGACAAUGGACGCAAGUCUGAACCAGCCAUGCCGCGUGCAGGAAGACGGCGCUAUGAGUUGUAAACUGCUUUUGUACGAGGGUAAACGCAGAUACGUGUAUCUGGCUGAAAGUAUCGUACGAAUAAGGAUCGGCUAACCCCGUGCCAGCAGCCGCGGUAAUACGGAGGAUUCAAGCGUUAUCCGGAUUUAUUGGGUUUAAAGGGUGCGUAGGCGGUCGGAUAAGUUAGAGGUGAAAUCCCGAGGCUCAACUUCGGAAUCGCCUCUGAUACUGUUCGGCUAGAGAGUAGUUGCGGUAGGCGGAAUGUAUGGUGUAGCGGUGAAAUGCUUAGAGAUCAUACAGAACACCGAUUGCGAAGGCAGCUUACCAAGCUACUUCUGACGUUGAGGCACGAAAGCGUGGGGAGCAAACAGGAUUAGAUACCCCUGUAGUC